UAUGACUAUAGCGCGUUCAAACAUCGGUUCCCGUAUGAUCGCCAAAGUUAAGCAACGUCAAGACUGGUUAGUACCUAGAUAGGUGACCACUUGGGAAUACUGAGUGUU
Molecule: non-coding RNA, 108 nt
Organism: Acanthosepion pharaonis
Lineage: Eukaryota; Metazoa; Mollusca; Cephalopoda; Sepiida; Sepiidae
Source: the annotation of a GenBank genome assembly